UUUAAUGUUUUGAAGCUGAAGAAAGUAGAUGUUAUCCUCCUUGCGAAAUUUCAAUGUGUGCAACAAUGGAGGAAUAAUUUAAAACGAAGACUCCUUAAUUUAGAAUUUAGGAGUCUUUUGUUUACAUUCUAACUCUUGAAAUUGUUUGUCUUAUGUUAAUAAAGUGUCUUGAUACAACUUUCAUGUUAAAUGAUUGAGUACUAAACUUUUGUAUGAGCAAGUAUGUUUUACGCAUCAUGAUUGAUAAAGUAUGCUAAAUUUUAACACAUCAACAAGAUUUUGGUAGAAAUUUAUAUGUUUUCUUAGAUUUUUGGUCCUAAAUUCCUUAGAAUUUUGUACUUCUAAAUCACCGUUGUUUACAGAAGAAGUCGCUGCUGGGGUUUCUAAUCUCAUGGUUCCGUUGGGUGUUGGAUUGGCUUUUACUCAGAAGUAUAAUACGGAUGAUACUGUAAGUUUUGCUUUGUAUGGUGAUGGUGCUGCUAAUCAAGGACAAUUGUUUGAGGCUUUGAAUAUGGCUGCGCUUUGGAAUCUUCCUGCUAUUUUGGUUUGUGAAAAUAAUCAUUUGGGGGUCGUGAUUUGAGUUGAAAUAAGCGUUCAAGCAAGUAUCAGACACAUGAUCAGACAUUUACUGGUGGAAAUGAAGCGCUUAGAUUGAGUUGCAGAAAAGGAUACCUUGUUCGUGUUGUUAGGGAGUCUAAUUUGAUCGGAAAAGGUGGCUUUGGGAAGGUUUAUAAGGGUCGUUUGGAUAAUGGACAGGUAAAUUACCUUUCCAUAUUAAAAUUUCUUACACCAAAUUCAAGCAUUUCGAAUUCAACCUUUGUUCAUAGGCUUAUAUGUGCUUAAUUUUAUGAUGUGAUCGUGUCUUGUUACACCAGUCUUUGUGUAGCUGCUGUCUGCUCAUGUUGAAUUACAAAGAAAUUGUUACAAACUGAGAAAGAAGUUAGCUUAUUUCGAUCUUUUCAUUAUAAAUGAUUUCUGAGAUUAAAAGUCGUGUGCACAGAACGUUAUGUUUCUGGAAUUGUGUAGACACCUUAUGUUUCUGCAUGUUGGUUUUAAUUGGUGAUUGUGGCGAUCUCUUCUACCUGAUUUCGCUUACUAAUUUUGCAGUUGUGCUAUUUCUUUAUUUAUUCUUCUUUGUGUUGGAUCAAGAGUUAAACUGGUUGGAUAUGCUUUAUUACCCCUUAUGUUUGUCACGACAUUUAGGGAUGGAGGUUAUGACAAUGUAAAUAUGAAAUAUGGUUUGGGAAUUAUUUGUGUUCAUAUUUGUAUGGUUGGGCCUUUAUUUACUUGAUGAAUUUAAUCAUAGCAGCUGAUUGCUGUCUGAUUUCUUAAUCUUGAAUAGGUUCUCUGGCCUGAAUGUGGCUGUUAACCUGUUUCCUUGACUGAUUUGAUUACUGGCGUGGCAGUUAAGAAAGCUUAUAGAAAUGCGAAUUUGUGAAUUCAUCCUGAUAAAGUGCAAUAGAAGGGUGCCACUCUACAGUAGAAAAUUGUUGCUGAGAAGGUGUUUCAUCUGUUUAAGGUUGAUUUAUUGAAAAACAAAUUUGGAUUUGAUGAAGCCUUCAAUUACAAAGAAGAGGAAGACUUGGAUGCAACCUUGAAAAGGUAACCAUGUGGAGCAAUGAAGGCCCUUCUGGUGGAUUUAAGUUUGGCUGAAGGUAGCUUAACUAUACAAAGACAAAUAAGUAAAACAUAAUGCCUUUAGAGGAAACAAGUGUAAUUUUGUUUUUAAACCUGGAAAACAAGAAUUCUUGAGAUUUGGUUUAAUUUAGUUCUUUUAAAGUUUUGGUUAUUAGUUUAUUAAUUGUAUUUUUUUUUUUGAAAGAAAUAUUAAUUGUAUAAAAUAUAAACAUCUCUCAAUAAAUGAUAAAAUG
Molecule: long non-coding RNA, 1871 nt
Organism: Chenopodium quinoa (quinoa)
Lineage: Eukaryota; Viridiplantae; Streptophyta; Magnoliopsida; Caryophyllales; Amaranthaceae
Exons: 5
Source: RefSeq, a predicted model, not a curated record